RNAcentral lists this ribosomal RNA (465 nucleotides) under uncultured bacterium. RNAcentral describes it as "bacterial SSU rRNA". It matches the Rfam family "Bacterial small subunit ribosomal RNA", at positions 338 to 795 of the family's 1533-position model. The record is from RNAcentral.
CCUACGGGUUGCAGCAGUGGGGAAUAUUGCACAAUGGGCGCAAGCCUGAUGCAGCCACGCCGCGUGUAUGAAGAAGGCCUUCGGGUUGUAAAGUACUUUCAGCGGGGAGGAAGGCGAUAAGGUUAAUAGCCUUGUCGAUUGAUGUUACCCGCAGAAGAAGCACCGGCUAACUCCGUGCCAGCAGCCGCGGUAAUACGGAGGGUGCAAGCGUUAAUCGGAAUUACUGGGCGUAAAGCGCACGCAGGCGGUCUGUCAAGUCGGAUGUGAAAUCCCCGGGCUCAACCUGGGAACUGCAUUCGAAACUGGCAGGCUAGAGUCUUGUAGAGGGGGGUAGAAUUCCAGGUGUAGCGGUGAAAUGCGUAGAGAUCUGGAGGAAUACCGGUGGCGAAGGCGGCCCCCUGGACAAGGACUGACGCUCAGGUGCGAGAGCGUGGGGAGCAAACAGGAUUAGAUACCCGUGUAGUC